AUUUUGUUUCAGAAAAAAUCUACGCAACUUUGUUUGUCUUUCUCCUUGUGAUAGCGGGAAAAAACACACACACUCGGUCACCAUAGCCGUACCCACCAAACCUUUCGUCGCCAAGAUCAAAUCUUUUCACUCUUUUGAUCUCAAGCCAUGUCUCACGCCAACUGGGAAGCUGAUAAAAUGCUGGAUGUGUAUAUCUAUGAUUAUCUGAUGAAGAGGCAGUUGCAUGCUUCUGCCAGGGCAUUCCAGGCCGAAGGAAAUGUGUCGACCGACCCUGUUGCAAUAGAUGCGCCUAGUGGUUUUCUCUUCGAGUGGUGGUCUGUUUUCUGGGACAUAUAUAUUGCAAGGACCGAUCAGAAACACUCAGAAGCAGCAGCAAUUUAUAGCAAGACCCAACAAAGUAAGGCUCGAGAACUGCAAAAACAUCAAGAGCAAGAGCUUCAGAAUCCAAAUCAGAGACAACAAAUGCAAAUGCAGCUCUAUAUGCAGAGAUAUGCUCAGCAGCAGGAACAGGAGCAGCAGUUACAGGAGCAGCGGCAGCAGCAGCUUAGGGCUCAGCUUGUUAGUGGCAGCAGUAUCCGUCCUAUUAACAAUGAUCCUUCAAUCAGGCAGAAACGUGCAACUUCUAAUGCUAUGGCGACAAGAGUGUAUGAGGACAGGUUGAAGUUGCCACUCCAGAGAGAUGAUUUAGAUGAUGUUGCUCUCAAGCAAAAGGGAAGUGGUAAUGUUGGCCAGCUUCUGGACCCAAAUCAUGCCUCAUUGUUGAAAGGAGUAGCAGUGACAACUGGUGGCCAGGCUACAGGUCAAACGUCUCUCGGUGCACCUAACAUUUUACAAGGCAGUCUUCAACAAGUUCAAAAUCAGAACCAGCAUCUUCCAGGCUCUCUGGACAUGAAAAGUGAUAUGAAUCCAAUGGUUAGACCUCAAGCUGUUAUACCAGAUGGAUCCUUUGUUGGUGGACAUGGUUCAAAUCAAGGUUGUAGCAAUUUGACUCUGAAGGGAUGGCCUCUAGCAGGACUGGAUCAGCUUCGCUCAGAAUUUCUUCAGCAGAAUAAUUUGAUGCAGCCUCCACAUUCUCUCAAUCAUCUUUCAGUGCAGCAGCAACUUAUACUUCAGGCACAACAACAUGCUGUAGGUUCCCCCUCUGCCACUGAUUUUGAGAACAGAAGACUCAGGAUGCUUCUUAAUAAUCCAAAUAUGGGUCUUGUGAAAGAUGGACGACCGAAUUCAGCAUAUGACUCAAUUCCUAAUGUGUUGGCUGCACAAGUGUGUUCUCCGAUGUUGACUCAUCCGGAUACAGAUAUGUUCCUUAAGCAACAAAUGCAAAACAGCAGUCACCAGCUUCAACAACAUCUGCAGCAUCCUCCUUCAAACCAGCAGUUGCAGAAUCUCCAGCGGCAAGGGAAAAUUGGUCCCGGGAGCAAUACACAAGAUGGGUGCAUGUCCACCUUACAAGGAAAUGAUCAGGCUUCCAAAACUCAAGUUGGCCGAAAGCGAAAGCAAGCAUCAUCUUCUGGUCCUGCCAAUAGUUCUGGAACAGCAACCACCACAGGACCAUCUACCAGUUCGCCUUCAACACCAUCUACACAAACGCUCGGAGAUGUGCCAAAUCUGCAACAGAAUGUUCCAUCUUCUAAGUCAUUGCUUAUGUUUGGUACUGAUAGCUUGGGAUCACUUACAUCGGCCCAAAAUCAACUGGCUGAUAUGGACUGCCUUAUUGGUGACGGAACUUUCAGUGACAAUGUUGAGUCGCUCUUUUCUGCUGAUGAUGCAGACCCUAGAGAUAAGAUUGGCAAAGAAUUCUCAUUCAAAGAGACUAAAUGUGUUAUGGCAAGCACACAUAAAGUUGAGUGUUGCCACUUCUCAUCAGAUGGAAAACUGUUUGCUACUGGUGGCCAUGAUAAAAAGGUAUCUUUGUGGUGCACAGAAUCGUUUAACCUGAAGUCGACACUAGAUGAACAUACUCAGUUGAUAACCGAUGUUCGAUUUAGUUCUUCAAGGACAUCGCGCCUUGCUACAUCCUCAGCUGACAAAACUGUUCGGAUUUGGGAUACUGAAAAUCCUGGUUAUUCUCUUCGAACAUUCACAGGACAUGGUUCAACUGUGAUGUCACUAGACUUUCACCCUAGUAAAGACGACCUUAUUUUCUCUUGUGACAAUAAUGAGAUAAGAUACUGGAGUAUUAAAAACGAUGGUUGUGCUGGGGUUUACAAGGGUGGCGUAACUCAGAUGAGAUUUCAACCUCGUUUGGGAAGGCUUCUUGCAGCUGCGGUAGAUAAUCUCAUUUCCAUUAUUGAUGUAGAAACCCUCGGUUGCACACUCAAAUUACAGUUCUGGAAAAUAUCUAGCAUCUCUUAGUGAUGAUCUUGUUAGGGUAUGGACAGUUGGAUCAAGUAGCAAAGGGGAGUGCAUUCAUGAACUCAAUGCAUCCAGGAACAAAUUCAACACCUGUGCCUUCCACCCCUUCUAUCCUUUUCUGAUCAUUGGCUGCAAUGAAGCAAUUGAGCUGUGGGACUUUGUUCAGAACAAGACAUUGACACUGGCUGCUCAUGAAAAGCUUGUAUCAUCGUUGGCAGUAUCUAGUGUUAAUGGUUUGGUUGCUUCAACUAGUCAUGACAAGCAUUUCAAGAUCUGGAACUGAAAAUGCAACUUCUUCAUUAUCAAUGGCAUUGACAAUAACUAUAGGGAUAUCUUUUAGUAUUCAUGAGACCUAUAUUUACAAAUUUUUUAAUAUAUAUUUUAUAUAUUGUAUAUACUAUAUAGGUCAUCUUAGUUCCUAACAUGCUUGUAUAGGUCCGUUUUUGGGAGGGAUAUUUGCAUAGGUAACUUGAGAAAUUUUAGAUAUGUUUUGGAUUUUGGCUCAGUCCCUCUUAUAGCUCAUAGUAGGCAUACAAUCGGUUUGAUGAAUUUUCAUACUCCUCAACUUUAAAAUAGAAACACACUAGGGUUUAUGCUAUGGUGUGGUAAUUGGUAAACCUCAGUGCAAAUACUGAAAUUGAAAUAGUGAUGAUUAAUUAUAGAAGUAUUUGACUUUCUUUUUUUCCUUGUGUAUGUCUCUGUUUUUUUUCUUAAUAAAGUGCGUUUUUUAUUUACUAUUGUAUGUUCACAUUUUAAAUGACUGAUUUGGUGAGUAAUUUUUUGUAUGCAAAAAAUAUGAUUUUGGUGAUGUGUUAUUUUUGUAUGUUUUGGUUUUCAAUUUGUCCAUUUUUCUAAAUGUGUUGCAUUUGAGUAAAUCUAUAUAAUGAUUCAUGAGAUUUACGUGAUUAUCCAAUUUGGUUUUCGAGGUUUUA
Molecule: RNA transcript, 3287 nt
Organism: Arachis stenosperma
Lineage: Eukaryota; Viridiplantae; Streptophyta; Magnoliopsida; Fabales; Fabaceae
Gene name: transcriptional corepressor LEUNIG-like
Exons: 18
Source: RefSeq, a predicted model, not a curated record